CCUACGGGUGGCAGCAGUGGGGAAUAUUGGACAAUGGGCGAAAGCCUGAUCCAGCCAUGCCGCGUGUGUGAAGAAGGCCUUCGGGUUGUAAAGCACUUUCAGUGGGGAAGAAAGCCUUGGGGCUAAUACCCUCGAGGAAGGACAUCACCCACAGAAGAAGCACCGGCUAACUCCAUGCCAGCAGCCGCGGUAAUACGGAGGGUGCGAGCGUUAAUCGGAAUUACUGGGCGUAAAGCGCGCGUAGGCGGUCUGAUAAGCCGGUUGUGAAAGCCCCGGGCUCAACCUGGGAACGGCAUCCGGAACUGUCAGGCUAGAGUGCAGGAGAGGAAGGUAGAAUUCCCGGUGUAGCGGUGAAAUGCGUAGAGAUCGGGAGGAAUACCAGUGGCGAAGGCGGCCUUCUGGACUGACACUGACGCUGAGGUGCGAAAGCGUGGGUAGCAAACAGGAUUAGAUACCCUGGUAGUC
RNAcentral lists this ribosomal RNA (465 nucleotides) under Vreelandella stevensii. RNAcentral's name for it is "partial 16S ribosomal RNA". It matches the Rfam family "Bacterial small subunit ribosomal RNA", at positions 338 to 795 of the family's 1533-position model. Lineage: Bacteria; Pseudomonadati; Pseudomonadota; Gammaproteobacteria; Oceanospirillales; Halomonadaceae. The record is from RNAcentral.